AUUGCCUCAGCAGAAGGCAAAUGCAACAGAUUUUUGCAGUCUUCAAUGUCCAGUCCUUCGAGUGAAUGGAUGCUACCCAAGAACUCUGGCAGAGCCACAAUCCCGUCAAAAUUAUGUAUCGUUAAAAAGGCCAAGUUGGAGAGAUGCUGAAUCUGCUCCGGCAAAGAUGUGACUGCUUGCCAACCACUUAAUAUAAGAGACAGCAACGAGGCAAAAGGUUGUUGGAAUUCUUUGUUCUCAUUAUCGGUAAUAGUAACUCUGCAAGGAUUAAUGGUGUAGCUGGGCCAGGGGAAAUAAUCAAGAUCAUGAGAGAAAUCACCUAGCACCAAUCCUUCUAGUUGAAUCUUCCUCGACAAAGGAUGCAAAUCCUCUGGUUGAAUAGCAGGGCACCCCAAUAAUACAAAAAACCUGAUUGAUGUACAGACUUCCAUUCCACUUGGUAGUGAGCGCAAGUUGUUGCAUCCCGCAAGGCUCAGCUCAACUAGAGAUCGUAGGGAAUGAAUAUCCGGGAUGGAAACAAGAUUGGGGCAAUCCAUUACUCUUAGAAUCUCAAGAGAUGCCAAUCCUCCCACGUCCUUUGGUAGAUGACUUAAACUAAUGCAUCCCGAAAUACAUAGUUCUUUAAUGCAUCUAAGGUUGUGCCAAACACCAUCUGGCAGGCUUACCAAUUUGGGACAGAGCUCGACUUUUAAAAUCUCCAAAGAAGGGAAUAUCUUGACUAAUGAAUGUGAUGAAUCGUGGCACAUCAAACCCGACCACUCUUUCAAAUCAGGCAUAUCCUCCAGAAUUAGUUCUUUCAGUGCUGGAAAUGAAACCACAGCAUCCCCUGCUAAGCGACUUGGAUUGCUACUACUUGCAUCAUCAACAUUUUUCCAACCGAAGAAAUCAGUGCCGAUGCAAUUUACACUUUUCAUUCCAAUUAUGUUGACAAUAUUGAGGUGAGGGAGGUGCCCAAGUGGUGGAAUUUGCUGACACUUGUUGAAGUUCCUCAGCACGAUCUUCACAAGAUUGCGAAAGACCAAAGGAUGGCUUGUGGUCAGCAUCCACGAUGGAAGGCUUCGGCCCAUAAAGUUUUCCAUUGUGAAACCUUUCAAAUUUGGGUGAGGUUCAAGACCUUUCAAGACAUCCUCAUCAGUGGAUUCGUCUCUGGUCCUAGUAUCCCAGUGAAGUUCCAAACUAUCAAGGUUUAUCUUUGUGGAUAUUUUUGCUUUGAUUGCUUCCUCUUGGUUGCUAACAUUCUGGAGAUCAAAGAUCUUGAGGUCGCCCCUGAGAUUGUGCAAAUGCCCCAACUGAUCAAUUUGACAUCCCUUAUCUUGACUUACAUAGAAGAAAGGCAACGUCUGAAGAGAGCUCAACUGUCCUAUAUCAGGAAGCAAACAUGGCUUGCCGUUGAUGAUUCCAUCUUUUUCAAUGCACAAAUGCCUCAGGUUAACCAAAUUUCCAAAAUUUUUGGGAAGCUGUUGCAGAUUACUAAGCCUCAUUGUUUGCAAAUUGUACAACUGUGUGAUGGGAUUUGGGAGUUCUGUUAUUGAAGUCCUGGAGAUGUCAAGAUAUCUUAAAAGCUUUAACUUUCCAAUCGUGGCUGGCAAUUCCUUAACUUCUUCAUCAACAAGAAAUAAGACUCGAAGGCUUUUACAAACGAUCGGCAAACCAUGUGCAAGGUUCAAAAUCAAAGUUCGCAGCUUUAAAAGACUUUCCCUACCGGUUAUAAGUUCAGCCGAGGGAAACAAGAAAAUGGACUCUUUGGCUACUUCUUGAACAAAGUCAUACACAAGAUCGUGAAUAGUGAAUUUUAUAGUUCUUCCAAACCCAUCCUUCUCGUAAACUUGCAACAAAGAAGUCCGGAACAAAAUACUCAUGUAGUUACUUCCAACAUCCUCCAUUUCCAGGUGACUUCCCUUGGAAGGAUUAAGCAAUCCCUGUGCCAUCCAAAGUUGUAUCAUGAUUUCCACUGAUAUAAAGCCACCGUUUCCCAUUAUAAUACAACAUAAAAGACAUUGUUUCAACGACAAUGAAGGCAAAUGAUCGUAGCUUAACUUUAUAGCGGAUCUGACUCUACUUCCAGCUUCUUCCAUUGCAGUCCAGGUUUCACUAUGUUCUAUUUUUGACCACUCACGUUCAUCCUUUUUGGAGUACAACAAACCUCCUAUUGCCUUUACUGCCAAUGGCACACCACCGCACUUAGCAACAAUUUUUCUUCCUAUAUUUAUCAAUUCAGGAGUCUUUAUUGCUGCACAACCUUGACCAAAUGCUAUUUUCUCAAACAAUUCCCAGCUAUCACCAUCAGAAAGUGUUCCCAAUUGACAAGGAAAAGAUGCUUGCAUGAUUGAAACAACUGUCUCGUUUCGAGUUGUCACGAUUAUCCUACUUUCGUCCGAUCCACCUAUCCCUCGCAGACACUUCCUCAUUCUAUCCCAUUUCUCUGCAUCUUCAUUCCAAACAUCAUCCAGUACAAGCAAGAAUCUUUUGGUUUUAAGUACCUCGCUAAGCUUUCCUACAAUUGCCUCUGCAACUGUCAGAUUAGGGUUGGUUCCUGUAAGAGACUCUACCAUCUUAUUUAAGAGUCUUUCAACAUUGAAAUCUUCUGACACGUGGAUCCACAAUUUGUGAUCAAAAUGCCUCAGCACCUUUUCAUUUUUGUAGACUAGCUGAGCAGUAGUUGUCUUGCCCAAACCAGCCAUCCCAACUACACCAAUAACUGAUAAGUUAUUACCAUCCUUCUCUGAAGAAGUUAACAAGUUUACAACCUUGUUCAAUUCCUCACUCCUUCCCACAAUACUGGAAUCAUCAACAAAAGGAUCAAUAGUACUAGAUCGAUCACUUCUGGGAUCGUUAGACAUGUUAACUAACUCAACAGGCCUAAGUCCAAUCCUUUCCGCUUCCUGAUAAACUUUCUUUAUACUCAAGUUCAUGUUCUUAAUCUUGUGAGCAAAUUUGAAACGGAAUGCGAGCGGAUAUGAACCAGAAAAGAAGCUACGAACCUGGUCUUGCAUGCGCUUCUUCAACUUUUUGCGAAGAACUUCAUAUGCAAACUCGUCCAGCAAGUACUCAGCCUCGGACGACACAUCCUGGAGCCUUCCAAGCCAAAGAUCAACGGCGUUGCUUCUGUUAUUUUUGCAUUCAGCAUCAAGAAGCAAAGCUUGAAUCAUCUCCAGAUCUCGAGCUAAACUUUCAAGAUCUUCCUUGACACCCCACACUAUGUCGAUCUCUUCAGCCACAAGUGAAAUUAACUUACUCCGAACUCCCUCUAUAACAAUAUUAAGCAAAACAUCAGCCAUCUCACUUUUGUAUUCCUACGAGAGGAAGAAUUGCUCGCUAAUCUGUGUGAUAUUAGCAAAGAACAAAGAAGUCAACGGCCCUUUGAGGAGGGGGACUGAAAGAAGUAAAUGAAAUGGCGACAGAGUGUCGUUGAACCAUGUGAAAAAUAGUGAAGUAAAGAAGGGGAAGAGAUAAACUCAAAGAAACCUUAUCCAUCGGCUGACGUGUUGCCAAACUAACGUCCACGAAAUUAUUGUCCCUUGUAAUUGUCGGUGGUCCCUUGUAAUUGUCACACUAUGAGGUAUGAAAAGGUUAUCUUUUUUUUUUUUUUUGGGGAUAAUUGCAGAAACCUCUCUUGAGAUUUCUGAUAUUUGCACUGACCUCCCCUCUAGGUUUAGAAAUUGCAUUCACCUCCCAUAAACAGUAAUAAUUCGUUGCAGAAACCUCCUUGACAGCUUUUGUAGAGGUGAGAUAAGAAUUUUCUUCCAAUUUUGCCCUUACUUGCUUGACAAUUAUUAUUUGCUUGACAAUUGCUUAACUAAUUAUCUAAUUAGUUAAUAGUUAAACUAAUUAACUAUUAACUAAUUAUUUAAUUAACUAAUUAACUAAUUAUCUAAUUAACCAAUUAACUAAAGCUGUUGUCUGUCCGAAACUAACAAACUAUUUGCAUGUUAAACUAAUUAACUGCUUAACUAAUUAACUAAUUAACUAACUAACAAAUUAACAAACUAUUUGCAUGUUAAACUAUAUGCAGUAUGCAUUACCUAUUUAAAGAAUCAGCUCUUUAUAAGCAUUUUACUUUCAAACAUUUAAUUUAUGAUAAAAACAUCAAUAUUUGUAUGUAAAAUUCAAAAAGUGAUACAGUAAUAUUGCUGUCCUGGUUGUAAUAUAGCAAGAAAGUUUAGCAUAAGGCUUAAGUUCUUCCCAAAAUGUUAUUUCUACUUAUGUUUGAGGUAGAAAUAUUGUGGGAGGUCCUUGUGGUUCAAUAUGUUCGCAUGAAUUUUCGCUUAUCUGGUCAAAUUUUAUAUUAUGGUAUGUUGUAAGGUUUUACUUAAUCAGUCUACAAACUUAUGUUAAUAGAAAAUUUGAAAUGACUGAUUAUAUGCAAAUAGUUUCAAGUAGCACUGUUCAAGUCCCUAACUAAUCAUGCUAUAAGUACAUCAAAGUGAAUAUCGAAUCCAAAGUUCUAAAGUAGAAUCUUUCGUAAAAGUACUUAUUAAGCGCUUAACAGUAUUAUUUGACUUCAAACUUGCAAAAUUGCCUUUUAUACUUAAUAAUGUGAAAAUUUUGAUUUCUGAAUUGUGUUUAACUUCACAUAGAGCUCAUAUUUUGUGAUAAAACAAAUUAAAUUUUUUUUUUGAGUUUUUGCAAUAUAAAUGUUACCCUACAAGUGUUAAUUUUGAAACAGCGCUAAAGCCUGAUGCUGCGCAUCAAGUUGCCCUGAUUAAUUGUAGUAUUUGUGCUGAUGCAUUGUGCAAUUGGCGAUAAUGCAAUCACACACAUGCUCCUAAAGGAGAAGAAGAAAGUGGGCCGCUAAGGCAACAAAGGGAGAAAAAGUACACAAGAAAGCGGGUACCUUCUCCUUUUUAGGCAAAGGUAACUAAUUUCGAUACAAAAAUGUACAAAAAUAUAAUGGGAUAAGAGGACCACUCACAAAGAAGCUGAGGCGUAAUUACCAAUAACCAAGUUGCAACGAAGCGGUCAACUAUUUUCAGUUCUUUUCUUUGUUGAAGAGCCAAGACUUAAAUAGACAUAAUUUUUAAAGAUUUGAUGGUUCAAAUUGUGUCACAUCGUUUUGAAAAUCGAGUCUAUCGAGUCUAUUGAAAAUCGAGAAUGAUUGAAGAAUGAUCUCAAUAGAUAAACUCAAAGAAACCUUAUCCAACGGCUGAAAUGUUGCCAAAAUAUCAUUAGGACUUUUUAGUAAUUAUUAUUGCACAGGUUCGGCACCUGUCAAUUGAACUGAAUCUUUGAAUGACUUCUAUGCACUUAGGUUAGGAUUUUAUUUUUUUCUUCUUUUUAAGGCAACUUAAAUAGGAUUUAAUCUAAGCUUUAACCCAAAGAACCUCUCUCCGGCUGCAUUAGGUACAUUAGGCAGCUUAGAAAAACUAAGAGUAGAACAUUAUAUGAACUAUAAACCUAACAUUGGAUAAAAAAAAAAAGAGUAAACCUAACAUUGGAAAAGGAAAGAAUUAAUUGGAAGAGGGGAAGAAGGGGGGGGACUUUGUGGCUUUUUUUUUUUGAAAAAAAUUUUGACCAAAAUCUAGAUAUUUGUCAUGUAUUUAGUGGGGAAAAAAGAAACCAAUGAUGCUAGGUGUUUGGAGGUAUUCAAGAAAAAUUUUUGCCAAAUUUAUUUCCUUGUUAAUUUGUCAAUCAAUAAUUUGGUUCUUUUUUUUGGCAAAAAAAAUGAAUCAUAAACACUUUUUUUUAAUCAUCUUUCUGUUAGGUUUUUUUUUUUUUUUUAUUUCACAUACAUUACAUCACAAAGAACAUUAUAGUUUUUCUGAUUUUUUUCACAAAUAAUCUUCUAUACAAACAAACCCAAAUCUUUUUAUUCUUCUUAUUGCUCCUCAUUUUUUUUGGUGUCUUCAAAACGUUUGUGAUGAUUUGAAAGAUAAGUACAAAGAAAUAAAAUUAGCAAAAUGAACCAUAUAUCUUACAUUGCAUGCUUCUUUUAGAUACAAUGAUCUAAGAAAUCACAUCAAAAAUCCGUAAGUUCAGAUCAAACCAGACAUUUGAAGUGCUUAAGGUAUUUAACUCAAAAUUAAUUGCGCAACACAUGUUUAUUUUCUAGAAAUUGCACUUAAGGAUCAAUUGCAUUUGCUCAGCCUCUAAAGAGUCUUUUUUGUAUUUGAUUAAUUAUGAAGAUGAUUUUAGAAUAAUUAUGUUCUCCAGUUUUCAAAUGAGCAAAUUGCUAUAUUUGUUAGAUUAAAAGAAAGCCCAAAUAGAGCUAACGACCACUAGAAACCCUCUGGAGUUGAAGUUUUAAGGGAAUUUCGCCAAUUUGGUCCCUAAACAUUUUCACUUAAACCAAUUUCGUCCUUAAUGAAAUAUUUUAACCAAUUUAGUCCUUGAACUAGUUUUUUGCUUCCAACGUAGGACUUUUGACAACAUUUUACUCACUUCGCGUGGACCAACAGGGGUAUAAUUGUCACACUUACUUAAUCUGCUGCAAUUAUUCGAAAGACAUUCUCCGCCAAUGCGAUUAACCUUGAAAAACAGAACAAAAUUGGGCGAAAUUGGGAUUAGAACUAGGGCUGAGGUGAACGGAUGAUGGAGGCCAGAAUUGAACACGGAAUGCGACCAUCAGAGGCAAUGGACAAUGGCGAUUCUGACAAGGAUGGCAACGAUCAAGUGGAGUCAUCAACAAGAUCAAGUAAGUCUGCACUUCAAACAUAAACCUCAUCAACCGUAUGCAUGAGGGGCUUGAGUUGACUGCCAUUAGUGUGUUGGAAUGGUGAUAAAAGCAUUGAUAAUGGAAGGGGUUGAGGGAGGGAGGGUUUAAUUUGGCAGCAUUGUAUAGCAGGGAUGGGGCAUGAACAGGUUAGGGGAUGUUGAAAUUUUUGUUAAAGUACUUAUAGAUUCCACAUGGAAAAGAUCGCCACCCUUCUGACCCCUCUGACGCCGCCACCCUCCGCAGUGCUUCAAUCGUUUGGUUCCGCAACGACCUUCGGGUACACGACAAUGAGUGCCUCAACUCUGCCAACAACGAGUCCAUGUCAGUCUUGCCCGUCUACUGUUUCGACCCGAGGGACUACGGGAAAUCCUCUUCUGGGUUCGAUAAGACUGGCCCGUUUAGGGCCACUUUCUUGCUUGAAUCCGUCGCCGACUUGAGAAAAACUCUGCAGGCUAAGGGGUCUGAUCUUGUGGUGAGAAUUGGGAAGCCAGAGAUUGUACUGGUGGAGCUGGCGCAGGCCGUUGGGGCGGAAGCUGUGUAUGCCCACAGGGAGGUAUCGCAUGACGAGGUGAAGGCAGAGGAUAAUAUCGAGGCGGUGUUGAAAGAGGAAGGAGUGGAGGUUAAGUACUUUUGGGGAAGCACAUUGUAUCAUAUUGACGAUUUGCCCUUUAAAUUGACGGAAAUGCCGACUAACUACGGCGGGUUUAAGGAGAAAGUGCAGGGACUGGAGGUUAGGAAGACAAUAGAGGCCCUGGAUCAGGUGAAAGGAUUGCCUGCUAAGGGAGAUGGGGAGCCUGGGGAGAUUCCGUCCUUGGUUGAUUUGGGUCUCAAGAGUUUAGACAGUCUAUGCUUCUUUCUAAUGUCUAUUUGAACGGGGGCUUAUUCUUGACUGUGCUUGGAUUUUGGGAAUAGAGUGGGGCUGCGGAGCAAAUUUAUUUACUUGGAUCCAUGGUGUAAAUCAAACCUCAAUAAUGAUGAACUCCGAACUUGUCUAAAACUGGCUAUUGAGCAUUUAGUAAUACGGAAUUGUUUCUGUAUAAAAAAAAAAAAAAAGAAAAAUUUGUACGGGUUGGGGAUACUGGGGGCAGAUGGAAUGCAUGUUGUUUUACUCAUUUUUUUAUUGCAAACUUACCUCCUGGCAGAAUGGAAAGCCAGCAGCAAGUGCCUCUCUUGUCGGAGGGGAGACAGAAGCGUUGCAGAGGCUUGGAAGAUUUGCAACUGAAUCGCAUUGGCGGGAAUGUCUUUCGAAUAAUUGCAGCAGAUUAAGCAAGUGUGACAAUUAUACCCCUGUUGGUCCACGCGAAGUGAGUAAAAUGUUGUCAAAAGUCCUACAUUGGAAGUAAAAAACUAGUUCAAGGACUAAAUUGGUUAAAAUAUUUUAUUAAGGACGAAAUUGGUUUAAGUGAAAAUGUUUAGGGAUCAAAUUGGCGAAAUUCCCAAGUUUUAACUACAACUCUUAAAAUGGUUUUCCAAGAUUUGUUUUAUUAAUCAGAAAGAAUAUAGAGAAGCAACCUGUUAUAUAUGUACCUGAAAAUUUCAAACAAUGAAAGUGAAGAAAUUUGGCCAUCUUUUACCAACAACGGCACCCUUUGAACACUGCAGCUAGUUUGAGCAAUUGAGCUCUCUUAAAUACAGUUGCUAGUAAAACGGGAGAUGGAUCGAUCCUCAAGCAAUGAAGACUACUAUAUGUUACUAUUUUUGUCCUAUGGCUGUCAAAAUUGUUUAUUUUCUCCAGUUUAUUUCACAUAAAGGUGCAAAAUUGGAGGUGUUUCAUGCAUCUCUUUUAAAGCGUGAAGCUAAAAACUUCUCGAACGAUCACGCUUUCAAACCUUUUUGCGUCUCCUACUGAUAAAGGCGUGCUCUGGUACCUGUACACUAACGAAAGUCCUCUUGCCUCCACUUUAAAGAUGUGACACACCUGGAAUACAUCAAUACCAUGCCUUUUCUUAAUAAGAUUUUGACACAAAAAUUAGUAGGCAACACUUUUUUAUUAUCAAGAAAAUUACACUUCAAAACAUUUCAAUGAGCCAAACUAAGCCCCAUAGAUCCCCACAUACUUGAAUGGUUCAGAUUUCCUGGGGGGUUUUCUGGUAUCCCACUUUCAGCUCCCAAUUUAUCUCCAAGAUUGCCUAGCAGGCACACAUUUAGCACCAAACUUCCAAGUCAUUAUCUAGCUAUAAAAAUGUGUUGGGCAAAAAAUAUGUCAUCUUGGUUAACAGCAGCUUAAUUAUCAGUACAUAUUGUGCCAGAAUAGAUCACAUUAAACUCACUGAAUCAAAUAAUGAAUGGACCAGCAUUUGACUUUUGAGAUAGUUGGCAUUGCAAUUUCUUGGCUGUGCAAUAGUCAUCCACCUUUGUCUUGUUGAAGGGGAAUUGUACUAGCAACUUAGUUUUGUUAAUGUAACCAUCCUUUUCUCCAAUGCUGCAAAACUGUGUUUAGGUGUUACAAGGGAUAAGUCUGAUGAAGCACAUGAGCAUUUAGCAAAUCAAAGGUAGAUGUAAUUAGACAACUGAAAUGAUGUUAUUUUGAACAACAAAAUCAUCAAAGAUUCUUGUCCAUUAUUAGAGAAGACCAAGGAAAGUAAAGUUGACAGAGACUAGAAUAGGUUUCACAUUAUUCACGGGCAACCACCACAACCUGCUUCCCAAUGUUGCGACCUGAGAAGAGUCCUAUCAGGGCACUUGGGGCAUUCUCAAGGCCUUCAGCUAUGUCUUCCACAUAUGCUAUCUUCCCUUCUUUUAUCUGGGGUAGAACCAUAUCCAGAAAUUUCGGAUAGAGAUGAUAGUAAUCGAACACCAAAAAUCCUUCCAUUUUAAUUCGCUUAGUGAUCAGGCAGAAGAGAUUGUGAAUGCCUUCAUGCUGCUCAAGGUUAUAUUGUGAGAUCAAUCCGCAAACAGCAAUGCGACCGUGGACUCUCAUGUUGAGAAGCACGGCAUCAAGCAUCUUUCCUCCGACAUUCUCAAAGUAAAUGUCAAUGCCAUCUGGAAAGUACCUAAGCGAAAAAAGAUAGAAAGUCAGGAAUGCUGAUUUACUUUGAGCAGUCCAAAGUAAGAAACUGCCAGUGACAGAAUCAUCCUCCUCUAAUGCGCCAACAUGACAUGCAAGAACAGAAUGAAUGCUGGCAAAUUAAGAUCUGCAUUGAAUAUUGACAACUUGGAGAAGUGUGUUUCGUGCUUGAGGUACACAUGUACCAGGUGACACAUAUAUACAGUUCAUUUAAGUGAAUGCCCUGCCACUCAGAACAAACUGCCCUGGGGAGUCAGAAAGUAGAUUUUAAAAUCUAAACUUUUCAGCCAGUAUAGUAGGACUGACCUUUUUAAAGCCGCAUUUAGAUCUUGCUCGUCUUUGUAGUUGAAAGCUUCAUCAAAACCAAACUUGUUCUUCAACAAGUCAACCUUUAAAGAAACAAGAUAAAGCAGGAUGAGAGAAGAAACAAUAGGCAUACAGUGAUAUCAUGUGGGUAGCUUUAAGUACCGUCAGUGUUUGUUCUAACAAACAAAUAUGAAGUAAAAGUUCCUCUUGCAAACAUUAUUCAGGCUAAUCGUGCAAGAUGCCUGGAGUAAGAAGGGUGAAUUUAUUAAUUUUUCCUUUCUUGCUUUUGGUACAACAGAUCAUUAGAUGCUCAAUAGAUGCUAUGAUAUAUGCUGCUUCAUGAAGCAUAGGUACAACUACCACUGGAAUCAGAUAACAGAAGAUCCAAGCAAUCAGUUCAGAGUAGCUUUCACCAAGACUGGCCCAUUAUGACCGUCAACAUUCUUUAUAGAAUUAAAAGGUUGCAAUUUGUACGCAAAGAAAGUCUAUGGUAGAAAAGAAAAAGGACUUGACAUUCAGUUUAUCUAGAAGAUACCCACACAAUCUUAUAUGAAUCCAUUUCAACAGAAACAUGAAUAAAGUUCUCACUGAAACUGAUACAAGGUUUCCAGUGAUCUAAAUGGCAGCAAACGAAGUGCGGGCUUGCUUUCUUGAACCCAAAAAAGAGGAAAAUUGAACAUGCAGAUGUCUUAAGAGAUUACCUUUUCUUUGGUUCCAGCACUUCCAACGACAUAACAACCAAAAGCCUUUGCAAAUUGUCCAACAAGCUGACCAACAGCUCCAGAAGCCGCUGAAAUGAAUACACGCUCUCCCUUCUUUGGAGAACAAAUCUCAACAAAGCCAGCAUAAGCAGUCAUGCCAGGCAUACCUGUUAGCAAAGCAGAACAAUUGAAAGGGGGGGGGUCUUAAAAUAUUAGGAGCCAUGAUGGCAAACUGGCAAGGAUAUGACACUGGAAGCAUCAUAGUAAAAGGUUCUGCAGCCACAUUCAGUUGCUUGAGGUAAAUAAAACAUGUUUCUCCGUCCCAUCCUUGAAGAAUGUCCCAGAAAUUCCAAAUAAGGUAACGUUAGAAACACCAGUAAUGGUAAAACAUAGAAGAUCAGCUCCAGAAAAAUUAGCAUCAGGUGGUGGCAAGAGAUGCAAGCAUAUGGCAUUGUAGUAGGAUCUAAAUCAGAUGAAGAGGUUCAAAGGAAGAAGUCAAACUAUUCAUAAAUAAAAGACUCAAGCAAUUAACUCAUGGACUAAUUCCUCAUCACUCUCUGAUGGCAGUUCGCUUAAUAGCAGAUCUUACAUCAUGUAAAGCUCACUAUACAUAAAGGAGGUAUAUCCCAUUCCUACCAUAGCAAACAACUGUAAAGUGCUUCAAUCAGACUGCCAAAGCUUACUAAAGUUCCACACAAAGCCUUUAAAGAUAACGAACAUCAAAUGCUGGAAAUCUCCAAGAAGAAAAGGAAGUAACUUCUAUACUGGUGUACUGUAAUGGAAACCUAAUCAGACAGAGGCACUGACCGAGGAUUCCUGUAUAGUAGGACAGAGGCAUAUCAGUGUUGUGAAUUUUAAAGCGAGUCUCUGGAUCAGCAAUUACACUGUAUUCUUCCCAGCGAGUCAAUCCCCACAGCAGAUCACCCUUGUUGAAUUUUGGAUUGUUUGACUCCAAAACUCUAGCCACUCCAAGACCCACUAUGGGCUACAAAGUGAAUCAGUAUCAAGUUAUGAAUUUGACUUGAGUCUACUCAUGAAAAGUAAAACUUCUGCCCCUUCAACUGCACCAUAAACAACUACAUGUAUUACACCUAUUAAGUUAUAUCCAAAGUCAUGGGAGUUAUCUCAAAUAGACAACCAUUUAAGGGACUGCAAUAAGUAACAAUGAACAGCCAAAAAACCAACUUCAAUUUAUUUGUUCUCCAGCCAAAUAGUAAGCAAAGCCAUUGUGGAAAACAUAGAAAAAUGUUUCCAAAUUUGAAUUCUUUGACAUGUGUACUGAAGAAAAUAAGCAUAAUCAGGCAACCAGUGAAUGUUCUUUGUGAAAUCACUACACAUUGUCAACAUUACUCUUUGGAGUUAUAAUGCUUUCUACUGUCAUGUAGAGUUAUAAAUCCGACUAAUAAGUGCAUCCUUCUCUUAAAUUAAUACUCUGGAGAUUCCCAAAUAGUUAACUUACUCCAACACUGAACAAACUGUUCUUUGAAUACUUUUGCUCCAUCAUUUUCCAUGUGAUGCAGAAAACGAUAAAGUCCCACAUGCUCUUGACCACCAGAUUUAUUUUAUCAAAAAAAAAAAAGAAAAGAAAAAAGAAUGAAAUUCCGGAACAUCUUGGUUUCAAUCUACUUUUGAGUUUCAUUUCUUCACAGAAAGAUGAAUCAAGGUCAACUGCUAACCAGGUCAAACAUAAUUACAUACUCUAGAUAUACACAUGCAAGUCAGAAUUCUCAUAUAUAUGAUCUUAUUUAACUGUACAAAAAUAAAAACUUUUGACUGUUUCAUGACUUCAGAGUCAAGUGAAUACUUCAAAAUCAACCAUAAAAGCGAGCAAGCCGCAGAUGUUCAGAUUAACACCAAUUAAGCAACAUAACAUAAAAUUCACAAAUGAAAAAUUCGAAUUUCCACUCAUGCAGACUAACUCUACAUAAAAAUUCUACAUAACGCCUAAAAAAAAAAAAAAAAAAAAAAGGUCUGGAAAUCCAAUUGUCACUCUAUCUUUAGCACUACAAUUGCAUGUACUGAUUAAACACCCAUUAACCACUCCAGUUUAAAGCAAUAAAAAAAAAAAGAACAAAAGAAAAGAAGAGAGAAACACAAAACGUACAAACAUUCACAGAAAGUGACUUACAGAGCCAGGAGUGUAGGCCUCAGCAUAAUGACCUUCAAGCUUGCGCAUGCGGGAUCUCAUAUAUAAGGAUCACAAGGCAAAUACAGAUUCUUCACCAAGAUUGCCCCUGAAUAAUCGCCGCCAUCUGGAAGCUUCAACUUCAAAGCAGUCGUUUUCACCUCCAUAUCACUCUCUUUUGGGAAGCCACUCACAUAAUUCUUCAGUAUAACUUGCUUAUUGCUCACUUCUUCCUCUGCCAUUUUCUGAAAUUCUCUCCCCAAGAAGAGAACAACCCUUUUCUUCUCUGAGCUAAAUAUUGGUGGGUUUUUUUUAUCUCUUUGGAAAUGGAGACUGAAAUGUGCAAUGGGUCGGAGUUAAAAGCGGAUUCUUGCUUUUGUUUUGUUGUUUAACUUAUAGGUUUGAUUAUUUGGCAUUUUGUUUGUUUUAUCAUAAAUGAUAAAGCCAGCAUUGAUAUCUUGUACUUUAGCUAAAAUUACGCUUCCCUAUGAAACUUUGGUAGGUCAGGUAAAAUUGGAUUAUUGGCCAGCUGAUUUUGCAAUAUGAGGCAGAGGUGCAAAAGAGAUGAAUUACCAAAUAGGAGUGGAAAGAAGAAGUUUUGCAUGACUUUCUGAAGCUUGGAUUGUGGGAUAUUUUGUUGGGUAAAAAGCAAAGAAUUGGUAAAUAUUGUGACUAGAAUUGGCUUCAAAUCGUGAUAGAAAUCACUUUUCUUUAGGCUUUAUUUGUCCGAUAUAAAGUGCAAUAACCUUGGACAAAUAUCCUUUAGGAUAAGAUGAAGUUUUGUUUGUCUUAAACUCUUGCACAAAGCAAGACAAACCCUUUGUGAACUAAGGAGUGCUUUUGAGAGAGUAAGGAUAGUAGGAAAGUGAUUUUCUGCAGCAAAUCACUCUCUACUUGACCUCUUUAUAUAGGAAGAUUUGUUUGGGAAACAAAAGACCUCAUUAAACACUUGUAUGAAUAGAUUCAAAGUAUUGUGUAUGAAUAGAUUCAAAGUAUUGUGUACACAUUCAUGCACUUUAAUUCAUGCAUCUCAUGAUCAUUAGAUCAAAACAUGAAUCUAUCCUUUCAUUCAAUAAUUCACAUAUACAUGAAUACAUUCAUAAAUGAAUGUACAUUUUAGAAUCAUUCACAAUACUAUACAUGUACCAAAAAUUAAUGAAUAUACAUUAAUUACAUGUAUGUACAUCAUACAAAUUUUGAAAAGUUUCCAACAAUCCCCCGCCAUUUUCAAAAUUAGAAAAUGGAUUUCUAAAAGGUCACCAAGUAAUCUGACACUCAUAUGCAUAAAUAAUGGUGUCUUUCGAUUGAACCACUAUCUUAGUGAAGGUUCUUUGAAAUCAAUCCUUCAAGAUGGUAGACAAGCUUUGAACCACUUGGACAUUGGACCAACCUCAUAAACACAUCACACACUGAGCAACGCACAACCAUAAGUUCUUCAAUGAUACAUUUUACGGCCUUGUAUCACUAUCCUUUCAUGAAUGUUUACAAAGUAAAGUCCUUAACUUUGUGGUUUGCCGAAAACCAACAUUCAUAUAGGCGACAUCUUAGUGCCCCCACCAUAGAUAGCACUUUUAAGAUUCGUUAAGAGUCCAAUGACUCAUCCUUACAUUUGCACUGGCGAGAAUAACAUGCACUAUUCAACAUUGGGAUGUCUAAACUUCACAUAGUGCACCAACCACUAGAAUGGUGUACUUUCACUCAUUGAAUUCAAGACUAGACGUUGUAUCUAGCGUUGAAUUGAGGUUCCACCAUUAGUGAUCAAGAAUUUUGGACUUUAAACCCAUCCCCCUUGAUGUAUUUGACACCAAAUUUCUUGAUAACCCUUUUGUCAAAGGAUCACUCAAAUUUUCAUUUGAUCUCACAAAGUCAAUUGAUAUGACUCCAUUUGUAAUCAAAUCUUUGACAUAACUAUGUCUCAAACCGAUAUGUCUUGAUUUACCAUUAUACACUUGACUAUAAGCUUUAGCAAGUGUAGCUGCACUAUCACAAUGAAUUGAGAUAGGCGACAAAGGUGUUGGCCACAAUGGUAUAUCACAAAGUAAAUUACGUAGCCAUUCAGCUUCUUUACAGGCCGAAGCAAGUGCUACAAACUCUGCUGCCAUUGUUGAAUCGGUGAUACAAGUCUGUUUCUUAGAACCCCAAGAAAUUGCACCUCCACCAAGCAUAAAGAUCCAACCACUUGUCGACGAGUGAUCAUCUUUAUUGGUGAUCCAACUAGCAUCUGAAAAUCCUUCUAGAACUGAAGGAUAACCGGUAUAACAUAUACCAUAGUCCUUAGUGGCUUUUAAAUACUUUAAAAUUCUGGUUACACCUUGCCAAUGUAACCUACUAGGGUUGCUUGUAUAUCUGCUCAAUAUACCAACUGCAUAUGCAAUAUCAGGUCUAGUACAAGUCAUUGCAUACAUUAAACACCCUAUAAUCUUGGCAUAUUCCAUUUGAGAUUUUGGAUCCCCCUCAUUUUUCACAAAAUUUAUUUUGGGAUCCAAUGGUGUUGAGGCUGGAAUACAAUCACUUUGAUUGAAUUUGUUAAGAAUCUUUUCAAUAUAAUGUGUUUGAGACAACAUUAUAUUGUUAUCAUGUUUGAAGAUUCUCAUACCAAGAAUGACAUCUGCCUCACCCAUGUCUUUCAUGUCAAAUUUGCUUGAAAGCAAAGUUUUUGUGACUUCAACUUGUUCCAAGUCAGUCCCAAAAAUCAACAUGUCAUCAACAUAUAAACAAAUUAUGACACCUUUGCCAUCAUCAAACUUGCUAUAAAUACAUUUAUCAGAUUCAUUUAUUUUGAACCCACUAGCAAGAAUAACUUGGUCAAAUUUCUGAUGCCAUUGUUUCGGUGCUUGUUUUAGUCCAUAUAAAGACUUGACAAGUUUACACACCUUAUGCUGUUGACCAGGUAUCACAAACCCUUCGGGUUGCUCCAUAUAUACUUCUUCAUCCAAAUCACCAUUCAAGAAUGCUGUUUUAACAUCCAUUUGGUGAAUGACUAGAUUUUGGAUAGAAGCUAUAGCAAGUAGCACUCUAAUUGUAGCAAUUCUAGCUACUGGUGAAUAUGUGUCAAAAUAGUCCACACCAUACUUUUGUGUGAACCCUUUGGCAACCAACCUGGCCUUGAACUUAUCAAUAGUUCCGUCGAUCUUCAUUUUCUUCUUGAAGAUCCACUUACAACCAAUUGGUUUUGAACCAGGUGGUAAGUCUACUAAUUUCCAGGUUUUAUUACCCAUGAUUGAGUCCAUCUCAUCAUUAAUAGCUUCCUUCCAAAAGGGAGCAUCUUGUGAGUUCAUUGCUUCUUCAUAGGUCUUGGGAUCAGCCCCAAUAUUGAAGCAAUAUGAGAUUUGGUUGCUCACUGUAUCUCUAGUUCCUUCAACUAGAUACAUAUAAAAGUCCGAACCGAAGUCUUUUGACUUUCUAGCUCUUUUGCUCCUUCUCAAUUCAAUGGUUUCAUAUACACCAUCUUUUGUCAAUUCACUUGAUUUUGGAAUAACAUCUUUUAUAGAGGUGAACCUAUUCUCUUCAAAAAUAGCAUCUCUAGACUCAAUUAUGGUAUUAACCGAAAUUGAAUCAUUAGGUUCAAUUACCAUGAAUCUAUAUGCUUUGCUAUUUUGUGCAUAUCCUAAGAAUAUACACUCCACACCUCUUUCUCCCAAUUUCCUUUUUUGAGAUUCUGGGAGUUUUACAACAGCUCUACAACCCCAAACUUUCAAAUAGUUUAGGUUGGGCUUCCUUUUAUUCCAAAAUUCAUAAGGGGUUAUAGAACUCCUUUUAUUAGGAACUCUAUUUAGGAUAUGACAAGCCGUUAACAAGGCUUCACCCCAAAAUCCUUGACUUAAACCAGAUUUUGACAAAAGUGCAUUAACCAUUUCUGUCAAUACACGAUUUUUCCUUUCGGCUACACCAUUUUGUUGUGGUGUGUAAGGAGCAGUCACCUCAUGUUUUAUCCCAACAGACUCAAAAUAGGUAAUAUCAUAAUAUUCCCCACCUCUAUCUGUCCUUAGACAUUUGAUAAAGGAUUCACAAUGAAGUUCAACUUCUGAUUUGUAUGCCUUAAAUUUUUGCAAAGCUUCACCUUUUGAGUGUAACAAGAAAACAUGACAGUAUCUACUAUAAUCAUCAAUAAAAGUCACAAAGUACUUUUUACCACCCAAAGUAGGAGUUCCAUGCAAAUCACAUACAUCACUAUGAAUGAGAUCCAAGAUUUUAGAUGAUCUUUCAACUUUAGGAAACGAAUUUCUUGUGAUUUUCGUUAGCAUGCAUGUAUUGCAUUUUCCUUCAAUCUUAUCACAAUAUGGCAGCAAAUCAAGUCUCAUCAUUUCAUGCAUUCUUUUGUAAUUAACAUGACCAAUCCUAUUAUGCCACAAUUCAAAAGAAGACUCAACCAAGUACGCAGAAAUAAUAUCACUCUUAUUAUUUCUAAUAGCAAGUACAUUCAACUUAAACAUCCCAUUGCAAAGAUAACCCUUGCCUACAAACAUACCACCUUUAGACAAAAUAAAUUUGUCAGACUCAAACACAAGUCUAAAGCCAAAUUUAUUUAACAGCCCAGCUGACACCAAGUUCUUCCUAACUUCCGGUACAUAAAACACAUUUGUCAAGGUUACAACAUUUCCGGAAGUAAAUUUUAAUUCUACUUCUCCAAUGCCUUGAACCGGAAUUGUAGCAGAAUUUCCCAUGUAAACAACGGUGCUUUCAUCCACCGGUUUCAUGGACUUGAAGAACGUUCUAUUGUUGCACACGUGUCGCGUAGCUCCAGAAUCAACCCACCAAGCAAAAUCAUCUUCAAUCAUAUUGAUUUCAGAUAUCAUUGCUACAAGAUUUUUGCUUGUGUUUUGGGAAGACUCUUGCUUCUUCUUCUUGUUUUGAAGAAUCUUGCACUCGGACUUGUAGUGUCCCUCUUUCUUGCAAUAGAAGCACUGUCCCUUCUUUCUUUUCUUGGAUUGAUUCUUGGGUUGUUGGCCCUUCUUGCUUCCUUGAGACUUUUCAGUUUGCCUCUCUUCAAUCACAUGCACUUUUGAAGUAGAAUCUUUGUUCUCUUCAAGGAUUUGACUAUCCUUCUUUUCUUGCAUGCGAAUUUCCUCUUCUACUCGAAGAGAUUUAGCAAGAAUCUCAAGAGAGAUAUCCUCUUUCUUAUGUUUGAGAUCUCUUUUGAAAUCUUUCCAAGAAGGUGGUAACUUAUCUAUUAUAGAGCAAACAAUAAUGGCUUCAUCCAUGUGUAGAUUGUGUUGUGUGAAGUGAUUAAGAAGCCUUUCAAUCUCACUAAAUUGCUCCAUAACAGACUUAUUAUCUACCAUUUUAUAAUUAUUAAAAGACGAGACAAGAAACUUCUUACUUGUAGCAUCUUCUUGCAUGUACUUGGACUCCAAUCGAUCCCAAAGUUCCUUGGCGGUAGCAAUUGAAUGGUAGACAUCGAACAGGUUGUCACUCAUGGUAUUGAGGAUGUGACCACGGCAUAUUUCAUCGUCGUUCUCCCAUUUCUGACGGUUUCGGAUGUCUUCAAGAGUUUCUUCAUCGGGAUUGAUCAAUGGUUUUGGUGUGGUCAAAACAUAGACCACUUUGAGUGCAGUGAGAAGGAAACGAACACGUUUUUGCCAACGAAUGAAAUUCCCUCCAUCAAACCUCUCGAGCUUGACAAUAUUGGAUGCCAAAUCUUUCAAGGUACCAGCCAUUGUAGAGUAUAAAUAAAGCCUAAAGAUUGUUGGGUAAAAAGCAAAGAAUUGGCAAAUAUUGUGACUAGAAUUGGCUUCAAAUCGUGAUAGAAAUCACUUUCCUUUAGGCUUUAUUUGUCCGAUAUAAAGUGCAAUAACCUUGGACAAAUAUCCUUUAGGAUAAGAUGAAGUUUUGUUUGUCUUAAACUCUUGCACAAAGCAAGACAAACCCUUUGUGAACUAAGGAGUGCUUUUGAGAGAGUAAUGAUAGUAGGAAAGUGAUUUUCUGCAGCAAAUCACUCUCUACUUGACCUCUUUAUAUAGGAAGAUUUGUUUGGAAAACAAAAGACCUCAUUAAACACUUGUAUGAAUAGAUUCAAAGUAUUGUGUAUGAAUAGAUUCAAAGUAUUGUGUACACAUUCAUGCACUUUAAUUCAUGCAUCUCAUGAUCAUUAGAUCAAAACAUGAAUCUAUCCUUUCAUUCAAUAAUUCACAUAUACAUGAAUACAUUCAUAAAUGAAUGUACAUUUUAGAAUCAUUCACAAUACUAUACAUGUACCAAAAAUUAAUGAAUAUACAUUAAUUACAUGUAUGUACAUCAUACAAAUUUUGAAAAGUUUCCAACAUAUUUAUGGGCCAUUUCUGAAGUUUUAAAGUGAUCUUUAGGCAAUGGACAUAGAGGGAUCUAAUGCAGUUAGGUUGUGUGUGGUUUGAUCCGAUUAUAGACAGUAUUUUUUUACAUUAUUUAAAAGAUUUCUUCUAUGAAUUAAACUUUUCGCCCCCACAAAAAUGUUCAAAAAACUUUUGUCUUAAACUUCAAAGUUCUCAUGUGCAUGAAAUUGAAAGGUGCCCCUCUUAAAGCAAAAUUUUCAAUUCCAUCUACUGUGUAUAUCAUAUCAUGAUAGACAAAAAUAAGAAAAAGAUAGGGGAAAACAAUAAUCAAAAGAAAGGGAAACAUGACCAAGAUAUAAUAUGUAACAUUCAAGAAACACCAAUAUAGGAUACAAAUUCAAGAAGAACUAAUAUAGAAUACAAAAUAAGGAAAAGGAAAUGAGAAAGUACUAUUAAAGAAGUAAGAAACGAAAAACAAAGAAUCCCAAGAAGAGAAGAGAGGCAGAUAGAAGCAGCAACACUUGCACCAGGAAUCCAACUGACCGGCAUCAAGAGAGGUCCAAGAGACAAAAUACAACAAUCUUAUCGUCUUGGAGAUGUGCUUUCUGCCCUUGCUGGUGCUGGAAAAGAAAGUUUCAGUGUUUGUUAUAGCUUUUAGCAAGUAGCAAAAUCAUCCAAGAAUAAAGAAUUUACAAACAUAAUGCACUCGAGAAUCAGGUUCUUCUGGAGAAAUCAAGCUUUGUAAGGUUCAGUUUCAGAGCACAAAGCAAAAAAUUGCUCAGGGAAUUGCUAAUUAUAUAUGGUAAUUAACAUGGAUCCAUAUGAGGAAAAGCAGCAGCCAAUCCUACCAUACAUGUCAAUUCCUUUACUGUGAACUUCUAGAUUAACUUGUGCACAUCGUCUAAUCAUCUGAAAACAGGAAGAGAUAAAGUUGAUAUGGUUCAUUGACACAUGCACAAAAGAAGAGGUAUGUGCAGAGAAAUAAUAAAGCAAAAUGAAGCUCUCACAUAUAUGAAUCUCAAGGUUGGCACAUCUUUGCUUUGAAAUAGUCUGUCAUGGAUUUAUUCAAUAUUAUAUCUUAUUAUAUGGCUUUACUUCUUUCUAGAGCAGGGUGCAGGGACAUGUAAUGAACCAGUAUGUGGUAUAUCAUAAUGGAAAAUACAGCAUUAGAUGUGAUACUAAGUUCGUGAUGAAGGGGUGGAUAGUAUUCAUAUAUGCGGUUUAAUGUAUUAUCUAUACAUUAGUUGUAAAUUCUACCUUUAGUCUUAUUAAAAGCAAUCUAUAACAGAGUGGAGAGUAAGGAAAUCACUUUUAGAAGAGCUUGGAGUAGCCAUGGAUAUCGUCAGAAGACUUUCAAUAAUUCAGCAAGAAAUACAAAAGGGAGACUUAUAUCUAGGAAACUUUCAUAUAACGUAGGCACAAAAACAGCAUUGAACUGAAACUUACGUGCAUGUAGUUGCUGUAUUAAGCAAAGUAAGAUGAGGCGAUGCAUUGCACAUGUUCAUGGCAGCAGCUGAAAUUCUGGAAUAUGAGCAAUCUUGUCCCAUUCUUGGCCGAUCUCUUCCUUGCAUCUGUCCUUGAGAAGUGGACAAUGUUCAAUUGUCAAUUUCCUUAAUUUGGUGAGGCGACGCAUUGCCUCAGCAGAAGGCAAAUGCAACAGAUUUUUGCAGUCUUCAAUGUCCAGUUCUUCGAGUGAAUGGAUGCUACCCAAGAACUCUGGCAGAGCCACAAUCCCGUCAAAAUUAUGUAUCGUUAAAAAGGCCAAGUUGGAGAGAUGCUGAAUCUGCUCCGGCAAAGAUGUGACUGCUUGCCAACCAUAUAAUCCAAGAGACUGCAACGAGGCAAAAGGAUGUUGGAAUUCUUUGUUCUCAUUAUCGGUAAUAGUAACUCUGC
Molecule: long non-coding RNA, 20932 nt
Filed under: Coffea arabica (coffee)
Lineage: Eukaryota; Viridiplantae; Streptophyta; Magnoliopsida; Gentianales; Rubiaceae
Description: long non-coding RNA (CARA_LNC002371)
Source: RNAcentral